CUUAAUCUUAUGCAAUCAUGUCAUUUGUUUGUUGAAUGCCAUGAGUAAGAAAAUGCCCUCCUAUCAUAGGAUUACAAAAUUCGAGGAGCUCGUGGCAUUGGGAAGUAGGUUGCUUGUUGGGUUUCACCAAGAGCUAGACAGCCCUUUACCACAUUCUAAACUGGAGGAAGGUGGGAAGUUGUACAUUUGAGGUUAAUCUUUCUCAAGGGCUGGCAGUUGAACUUUUGAAUGAUCAUCGAAUACAUCUAUUGCUUGGAAUACCUUCAUUGUCUUUGAUAGUUCCAAGGUUGACUCACCAUAUUGGACCCUAUAAGGCAAACAAGCUAGAGUUAUGUAUCAUCAAGAGGAGAAAUUUGUGAGACUUGAGAACACGUUGAAUUAUGGUCUUGAAUGAGUGUGGGCUAUUGGAUAUAUGAAAGGUUCGCGUUGGGUUGUAAUUGGAUAUGAUGACAGAACCAUUAUGAUAAAAAUUGGUCGAGAAGAACCAGUUGCUAGUAUGGACAAUAGUGGCAAGAUCAUAUGGGCUAAGCAUAAUGAAAUUCAAACUGUGAACAUUAAGACUGUGGGGGCAGAUUUUGAGGUUACAGAUGGAGAACGAUUGCCUUUGGCUGUGAAGGAGUUGGGAAGCUGUGAUCUUUACCCUCAGGUAAUAGGUAUAGACUUGACUUUAUUUUCAGAGAUGCACAAUUAGAAGAUGAUUUGAAGUAGUGGAUGAAAGAAGAUUCUCAAGGAUAAAUAGUAUUGAAAGACAUGUUAUUUUCUCCAUCAACGCAUGGCAGAGAUGACAGAUUUCCUGAGAAAGGUUCAUAUGUAUGUAGAUUCUCAGGAAAAACUUACUCAUUCUCAGAUUGCAUUGUGGAAUAUGCAUCCAUUAUUCAAAGAAAGGGUGACAUUCCAAGCAUUCACACUCUCCUUGCUAGCUAAAUUGGCUGACAAGCUAAAGAAGUCAGCGGAGGAUGAAAUUCAUUUUCUCAAGGCAAGGGUUCUAGAACUUGAAAGUGAUCUUGUGUCGAAGUCCAUAGAAGUUACAUCUGCAGUUUCAACGAAAGAAGAGGCUCUAUCUUCUGCAUUUGCUGAAAUUGACCGUCUGAAGGAAGAAAAUUCUGUAAAAAUGUGAGUAUUAUUGAAUGCAUAUGGAGGGUGUUUACUGUGUUGGAGUGUAUUUGUUUCUUGCACAUGAGGGCACACCUUAGUUGUAAUUCUUAUGAUAAGAUAAGCACAGUGAAGUAUUGUUUAUUUAGAAAUGUGAAUGUAGGAUGCAUUGUAUGAUUUGAUUGCUAUUUAUAAUAAAUGCAUCAUUUUUUUUCUAAUUGCAUUUUAUGUACUAUUUCUAUCAGCAUUAAGCUUAGAUGAG
RNA transcript from Magnolia sinica, 1354 nucleotides. RefSeq lists it as uncharacterized. The transcript is spliced from 9 exons. Lineage: Eukaryota; Viridiplantae; Streptophyta; Magnoliopsida; Magnoliales; Magnoliaceae. The record is from RefSeq and is a predicted model, not a curated record.